GCUCGUAGUUGGAUCUCAGUUCCAGACGGGUGGUCCGCCUACCGGUGGUUACUGCCCGUUCUGAACAAGCCAGCCGGUUUCUCUUGAUGAUCUUCACCGGUUGUCUUGGGUGACCGGCAAGUUUACUUUGAAAAAAUUAGAGUGCUCAAAGCAGGCGUGACGCCUGAAUAAUGGUGCAUGGAAUAAUGGAAUAGGACCUCGGUUCUAUUUUGUUGGUUUUCGGAACCCGAGGUAAUGAUUAAGAGGGACAGACGGGGGCAUUCGUAUUGCGACGCUAGAGGUGAAAUUCUUGGACCGUCGCAAGACGAACUACUGCGAAAGCAUUUGCCAAGAAUGUUUCCAUUAAUCAAGAACGAAAGUUAGAGGUUCGAAGGCGAUCAGAUACCGCCCUAGUUCUAACCAUAAACGAUGCCAGCCAGCGAUCCGGCUGUGUUCCUCAAAUGACACGCCGGGCAGCUUCCGGGAAACCAAAGCUUUUGGGUUCCGGGGGAAGUAUGGUUGCAAAGCUGAAACUUAAAGGAAUUGACGGAAGGGCACCACCAGGAUUGGAGCCUGCGGCUUAAUUUGACUCAACACGGGAAAACUUACCCGGCCCGGACACAGGAAGGAUUGACAGAUUAAGAGCUCUUUCUUGAUUCUGUGGGUGGUGGUGCAUGGCCGUUCUUAGUCGGUGGAGUGAUUUGUCUGGUUAAUUCCGUUAACGGACGAGACUCUAGCCUACUAAAUAGACGUUCCGAUCCUUCGAGUCGGACGUUCUUCUUAGAGGGACAAGUGGCGUUUAGCCGCACGAGACAGAGCAAUAACAGGUCUGUGAUGCCCUUAGAUGUCCGGGGCCGCACGCGCGCUACAUUGAAGGAAUCAGCGUGUGCUUUCCCUAUCCGACAGGAUUGGGUAACCCGUUGAACCUCCUUCGUGCUGGGGAUAGAAAAUUGUAAUUAUUUUUCUUGAACGAGGAAUUCCCAGUAAGCACGAGUCAUUAGCUCGUGUUGAUUACGUCCCUGCCCUUUGUACACACCGCCCGUCGCUACUAUCGAUUGAAUGAUUUAGUGAGGUCUUCGGACUGGCGCUCGGAUUGGUCUUCGGAUCGAGCCGAUGUGCCGGAAAGAUGUCCAAACUUGAUCAUUUAGAGAAAGUAAAAGUCGUAACAAGGUUUCC
RNAcentral lists this ribosomal RNA (1155 nucleotides) under Stemonyphantes abantensis. RNAcentral's name for it is "SSU rRNA". It matches the Rfam family "Eukaryotic small subunit ribosomal RNA", at positions 626 to 1804 of the family's 1831-position model. The record is from RNAcentral. Lineage: Eukaryota; Metazoa; Arthropoda; Arachnida; Araneae; Linyphiidae.